This 99-nucleotide ribosomal RNA is filed under the name uncultured bacterium. Its description in RNAcentral is "partial 16S ribosomal RNA". It matches the Rfam family "Bacterial small subunit ribosomal RNA", at positions 392 to 508 of the family's 1533-position model. The record is from RNAcentral.
CGACGCCGCGUGUAGGACGAAGUCCUUCGGGAUGUAAACUACUGUCAGGGGUUACCAAGUUCUGAGGAGCCCCAGAGGAAGGGACGGCUAACUCUGUGC